Dioscorea cayenensis subsp. rotundata (Guinea yam) is the source of this 1463-nucleotide RNA transcript. RefSeq lists it as uncharacterized. Lineage: Eukaryota; Viridiplantae; Streptophyta; Magnoliopsida; Dioscoreales; Dioscoreaceae. The record is from RefSeq and is a predicted model, not a curated record. The transcript is spliced from 3 exons.
UAUGUCGACCUGCCACUGUUAAAAAGCGUCUCAGAAGACUCCAGAAGUGCCUUUCCUCGCCCCUUCCUCACUGGUCUAAACCUCCAAACGAAAAACGAAAUGAACUUCCUCUGUAGGUCACUCCCCCUCCUCUGUCGCUCCAUCUCCUCGAAGAUCCCUUCUUCUCCCAGACCCCAUCUUCCUCUUUCUCCUCCUCUCUUCUCGAGAUCCAUCUCCAACCUUAACCCCACCGCUGGACUUAUCCCCAAUCCAUCCUUGUCAUGGCGCCGGUUCUGCAACCUCGAUCGACUCCAGCCCCAGCAAUGGCACCAUAACCGCCGCACCAUCCUCCAACCCCUCGCCGUUCUUCUUGGUGUCAUCGUUGGCGGCGGAGGCGUCAUCUAUUACCGCUAUUUUGAGACCGUCCCUUUCAGUAACAACUCCCGCUUGGUCAUCGUCUCUCCUUUGGCUGAGCGAGAUAUCAGCGAGAUCGAGUUUCAGAAGCUGAAGAACGGCCUCGAGGGCAGGAUCCUCCCCGGCAACCAUCCCGACACCAUCCGCGUCCGCCGCAUCUCCGAGAACAUCAUCGAAGCCAUUCAACCAUGUCUCAACCAUGACAAGCGGCAGUGGGGCAAUCUCAGUUACGCUUUUGAGAUCCAUGACAAGUGGCAGUGGGGAGAUCUCUGGUACGCUUGUGAGAUCCAAGCUCUUGAGCAGUCCCCGGAGACCACGAAGAAGGCGGCGGAGGCUGAGAGUUGGGAGGUGCUUGUGGUGAGCGAUAAAAACUUUCUAUGCCUUUUUGCCUUCCGUGUCGCAAGAUUGUGGUUUCCACCAGAGUUCUUGAUCAUCUCAGGACGGAUGCCGAGAUCGCCACUUUGCUUGGGCAUGAGGGAUUUUUAUUUGUUUCUUGGAGGUUGCCCAUGUUGUUGCUCGCCAUGGUGCGGAGAUUGCUACAAAAGGCUUGUGGAUGGAUAUUCAUUUCAUGCCACGUUUCUGUUGUUUUGAUCAUGAAAAAAUAGUGGAUGCUUUAAUGCGGAAAGAGGACCUCUGCACAAGGGACAUGACAUGCUGAGAACAAUGAUGCUUGUAAAAUAUACCCCCAAUCUGGCACUUGAAGGACAGUGUUGUGCGAGACAAGGAAAUGUUGGAAAAUUCUGCUAGGGACUGAUGGAAUUGGCCUUUAGCAACGUUGUUCUGGCCUAGAAAAGGCAUUCUGUGGGGGGUGAUUGAGCAAAGUGCCCAUAGUAGGUUUCUUACAAGGACAUUAUAGUAUCAAAUAUUGUCAGGAGGACGCGGGUUUAGUUUGUAGUUCAAUGGACUAUAAAAGGCAUUCUUGUAUCUUUUACUAAUUUGUAACCGGAAAGGACAAAAUCUUUGGAAUAAAAUCAACUAAUAUUUCUUCUUUCAUACAUUAUCCCAUUCUGAGAUUCUUGUACGGUUACCAAUAAAUACAUAAGAGUAACAUGGAUUAUCAUGUUGAAAUA